UAGCGGAACAAGGUCCCCGCUGGCAAUGAAAAUUCCAUUUAACUCAAUUUCACCAGUCCUAUACUAGAUAUAAGCCGGACUAGUACCAAAUGUGUCCCCAAGUAAUGCAAAGGUAAACAAUUGACACCUUUUCCUCCCCAAGUAAUGCAAAGAAGCGACAGUUGUGCAUAAAUAAAAACCACAACGAAAAAACCAAACGAACAUUUGAAUGAGAUCUCUACGAACAAGAACCACUUUGAAUAGUUUUUUUUAGAUUACCAAUAAAAACACAAUGCACCGUUAUUCUUGAGGAAUGCAAGUGCGUUUUGUUUGGAAAAAGCAUUCUUAUUCUGAUCGUUGUGAAGUGAAGUAUCAUUUUUCUGUGCAAAUAAGUUAUAAAGUGUUGAAAAUAACAAAUAAAAAGGUCAAAUCAAAAUUUUAGCUGAUGCUUUAGCUGAGUUGAAGGUGAUGGUGCUACGAAUUCAAAGUGAUGAGAUACCAUUAUCGAAUAGGUUCCCCAUCACUUAUGAAAAAUAUUGAGAAUCAAUACAUAUAUGUAAAGAUUAUAGCAUCAAUUAUAAAAGGAGAGGAAACAUCGAAAUGUUUAAAAAUGUUAUCGGUUCAAAUAUAACUACGAGUAUAAUAUUGAGGAAAAAAGUUUGAAGUCCCUAAGUAAUAUAUACAACGUUAUUUUAGAUAAGAUUCAAUACCAGUUACAGAAUAUUCGGACACCCCUGAAACACAACUACGAAAAGCAAUACAAGUGCUUUUAUAAAUAUUAAAUUAAAUUUAUUUGAGUUUUGCCUUGUUAAGGCGAAGAUCAUAUGUUUUAUGAUUUAUUGUUUGUUUUCUCUUUCGAGACGAGCUUAAUGAUCUGAAAUUUGCAGUGAAAAGGAAAGCCAGAUAGACACUAUCACACACACACCACUAUGCGACGCGUUUCGCCGUUGGUUAAGCGGCUCAUCAGGCAUAUUUGGUGUGGAUGAUGGCUUACAAGGGCCGUUCUCUGGAAAGUAGUAUAUAUUUCGAACUUAUUGCAAAUUAGCAUAUGCGAAUUAUACACUAGAAACUCUCCAGGUUGGACUCAAGUUCUAUUGGCAGAUCUUUUUCACAGCAAAGUUUUGUUUUAAAUUUAUUUUUGUUCAAGUUUUAUAGA
Long non-coding RNA from Musca domestica (house fly), 1135 nucleotides. RefSeq lists it as uncharacterized. The record is from RefSeq and is a predicted model, not a curated record. The transcript is spliced from 4 exons. Lineage: Eukaryota; Metazoa; Arthropoda; Insecta; Diptera; Muscidae.